GAGUUUGAUCCUGGCUCAGGACGAACGCUGGCGGCGUGCUUAAUACAUGCAAGUCAACGAGAAACAGGGUGCUUGCAUCCUGUGGACAGUGGCGCACGGGUGCGUAACACGUAGGUAAUCUGCCCUUAGGACUGACAUAACUCCGGGAAACCGAAGCUAAUAUCAGAUAAUGCAGCGGCUCGGCAUCGAGACAGUUGUUAAAUCUUCGGAGCCUAAGGAUGAACCUGCGUCCCAUUAGGUAGUUGGUGAGGUAAAUGCUCACCAAGCCUGCGAUGGGUAGCUGGUCUGAGAGGAUGAUCAGCCACACUGGAACUGAGACACGGUCCAGACUCCUACGGGAGGCAGCAGUAAGGAAUAUUGCUCAAUGGGAGAAAUCCUGAAGCAGCAACGCCGCGUGGAGGAUGAAGGCAUAUUUGUUGUAAACUCCUGUAAGAAGGGAAAAUGGGUCUGUUUACAGACUUUGAUUGUACCUUCAGAGUAAG
Molecule: ribosomal RNA, 482 nt
Filed under: uncultured Campylobacterota bacterium
Lineage: Bacteria; Pseudomonadati; Campylobacterota
Description: bacterial SSU rRNA
Rfam family: Bacterial small subunit ribosomal RNA
Source: RNAcentral